Long non-coding RNA from Eucalyptus grandis, 2599 nucleotides. RefSeq lists it as uncharacterized. Lineage: Eukaryota; Viridiplantae; Streptophyta; Magnoliopsida; Myrtales; Myrtaceae. The transcript has 2 exons. The record is from RefSeq and is a predicted model, not a curated record.
GACCAUUGUGUUUUGGGUCGGGUCGGGUAACAACAAAACCCGACCCGACCCAUUGACACCCCUAGUGCAAAUCGCUCAUCGAACGGCACCGGCCCGGUGCCGUCAAUGAACCCAUCAUUAUCCUUCGUUAUUAGGGCACGCCGGAGUUCUUGGGACCAAACGGAGUAAUUCCCCGGUCCCGUGAGUUGUAGGGUAAUUAGGCGUAGUUCCGGACUGUCGCCGGUGGCUGUGUAGAGGGCGUCGCCUGGCUCCGGCCAGCCACUGAUGGUUCCAGCAAGUGGAAUGAAAUUGGGGCUAAAAAACAGAGCCGGGUUUGCCCCAAAACCCGGUGGACCCGAACCAGUUUGAUUCGGGAAUUACCAACCUGACCUAGACUCGGGAUUCGGACCUUCUCCUGGUUUGCUAUUUUCAACGGAGCCGAUUUGGCCCGGUUGAACUUGAACAGGGACCCAUUGAACGUAUGGCCCUGGAAAAAUUUGUCCUGAACGAGCAUAUCCUGGGACUGACUGAUUUGAAUCUGGUUGUCUUUCUCUCGUCUCCUCGAGCUGGUUCUCUUCAGUAAUACUGGGAUCUGAAGAAGGGUCAUUGGAGGAGUUGUUGGACGAACCAGAAUUUGGAUUUUGACUUUUGGGCAUUUUUGCUUUGCAGGUUGAAAUUUGCUGUGCGGAAGCUUAUAGCAGAAGCUUUGAUACCAGGUAAGGAAUUGAGAUGAUGGAAAGAUGAACAGAGGAAUAAGAUAAUGGAAAUUGUAUAUUGCUUUCUCAUAUCAAAUAUACAAGUGUACAAGCCUAUUUAUGAUACAUAGAGCCUAAAUGAUUUAGGGAAUAAUUAUACAGAAAAGUAAAGAAAAUAUUCCCUAAUAUACAGUAUCAAUCAAGGAGCAUCGCAUCAGCCAUAUGAUAUCAAUCAACCAAAUCUCGAGGCAACAGUUUCUCCAACACUUUGAAGUCGAGCGAUUAAGCUGGUAGCGAAGUUGAAUUUCAGUGGGGUAUUUUUUAAUCACAUUUUUCAUGGACUUCUUUUGUCUACUUUCAUGUGAAUGGGGGACUUCGCCACCCUCGAGCUAAUUUGAACUCUCAGUCACAAAUAGAACCACCCUCUCCCUCCCCUCUCAUUUUCCAUUGUAAAGUAAUCGUACCAAUAGCUGAAUUGAGGUGCUUCGAUUUUGCUUGCUGAAAAUGUCCAAUUAUUUGCAAUUGUGUUUUGGAGUCCACACGUGUGCCAGUGGUGUUUGUGUUAGAAAGAUAUAUUCACGAUGCAUCUAAGAUUGCACAGACAAGUGAAGCUGCCUUCUAAAAUUGCAAAAUUUCAGACAACAUGCUAAAAACAUCCAUAAUACCUUAUAUCAGUGUUAUAAUGGCUUCGGCAUUUCAUCUUGAUGACAUUGAAAAUCACAAUCUUCUUUGCAUCUGUAGUUUUACAAUUUUAUCAUGAAUGUUUAACGUUUGCCAGGUUGUCCACAAUCCUUUCUUUGGAUUAAUUGGAGAAUAAUUUUUUAUGCAUCCAAGCUAGGUGGUCAGUGCAUGUUCACCACUCACAAUAGAUCUUUACUGUUGGUCUAUGUCUUCAUCUGUUCUUCCUUUGCCGAGACUCUUUUAAAUUAAGUUGGCAUUUAUUGUUUAGGUUUAUGUUUCUUUUAAUUUGAAAACAUUUUUUUUUCACUGAGAACGUACUCAAAUGUUUUUAUCCAACUAUAUCCUUCAAAUUGUGGCUGCAGUUCAGUUGCAGGUCACACAAGCAUCUCAUGUAGUCAUGCGAUCCUCAACGUGAGCUGUUCUUGAGUAUUUGGCCCUCUUCAAAAUAUGGUUGAGGCAGCAGCUACGGCAACCUCUGUUGAGGCAUACAGGGAUGGAAAAAGCUUAAUAGCUUAUGUUGGUCCCCAAAUCAAUUAUGCAAAUGAACUUGGAAAGAAUUUUAAAAGGCUCACCGAGGAAAAAGAGAAACUCUUUGCUAGGAGGGAUGACGUGGAAGCUAAAGCAAACAAAGACAAGACAAAGAAAAAAGCUAAACAGUGUGAAGCCUGGAUUGGUAGGGUUAAGGAUAUUGAGAAUGACAUUUAAGAACUAGAAAAUGAAUCCAGAAAAGGUUCAUGGAAACGGCGUCAUGUUUUGUCAGCUUCCAAUCUCAGUAAAAGAUUGGCUGAGAAGUGUGAGGAACUGCAUAGUCUGUGGGCACAAGGAAGACUUGAAACAGAAGCAGUUGUCGAGAGACCACCUGAACCUGUUAGAACAAUGCAUGCACCCAAAACAGAAAAUAAGCCAUCAAUGCACUGUGCUGUUGAAGAGAUCCUUGGUUACUUGAGGGAUCGCGAGGUGAAAAGAAUCGGGCUUUGGGGGACAGUGGGAGUAGGGAAGACAACUAUCAUGCAUAAUUUGAAUGAUGAUGUGGAAAUCAGCAAAAUGUUUGACAUUGUAAUUUCUGCGUCGGUAUCCAAAGAAAGUAGCAUAGAGAAGUUGCAAAAGGCAAUUGCACAGAGACUUAAAUUGAAUACUGAAGGGAUCAGUGAUCUGAAGGAAAUAUUAUGGAGAAUAUUAGAAGAAUUAGAGAACAAAAGAUGCUUCUUCUGGAUGAAGUUUGGAAUGUUUUUGAUUUAUAGGCA